Molecule: ribosomal RNA, 441 nt
Filed under: uncultured bacterium
Lineage: Bacteria
Description: partial 16S ribosomal RNA
Rfam family: Bacterial small subunit ribosomal RNA
Source: RNAcentral
CUACGGGGCGCAGCAGUGGGGAAUAUUGGGCAAUGGGCGAAAGCCUGACCCAGCAACGCCGCGUGAUUGAAGAAGGUCUUCGGAUUGUAAAAAUCUGUCCUUGGGGACGAAAAAAAUGACGGUACCCAAGGAGGAAGCCCCGGCUAACUACGUGCCAGCAGCCGCGGUAAUACGUAGGGGGCGAGCGUUGUCCGGAAUUACUGGGCGUAAAGGGUGCGCAGGCGGCGCUUUAAGUCAGAUGUGAAAUACCCAGGCUUAACCUGGGGGGUGCAUUUGAAACUGGAGUGCUUGAGUGCAGGGAGGAAAGUGGAAUUCCUAGUGUAGCGGUGAAAUGCGUAGAUAUUAGGAGGAUCACCAGUGGCGAAGGCGACUUUCUGGACUGUAACUGACGCUGAGGCACGAAAGCGUGGGGAGCAAACAGGAUUAGAUACCCGCGUAGUC